Molecule: ribosomal RNA, 454 nt
Filed under: uncultured Rikenellaceae bacterium
Lineage: Bacteria; Pseudomonadati; Bacteroidota; Bacteroidia; Bacteroidales; Rikenellaceae
Description: partial 16S ribosomal RNA
Rfam family: Bacterial small subunit ribosomal RNA
Source: RNAcentral
ACGGAAGGCAGCAGUGAGGAAUAUUGGUCAAUGGACGCAAGUCUGAACCAGCCAUGCCGCGUGCAGGAAUAAGGCCCUAUGGGUCGUAAACUGCUUUUGUGGUGGAGCAAUAAGUCGUACGUGUACGGCGAUGAGAGUACAUCACGAAUAAGCAUCGGCUAACUCCGUGCCAGCAGCCGCGGUAAUACGGAGGAUGCAAGCGUUAUCCGGAUUUAUUGGGUUUAAAGGGUGCGUAGGCUGUGGUCCAAGUCAGGGGUGAAAGCCUGGAGCUCAACUCCGGAACUGCCUUUGAUACUGGAUUGCUGGAAUACGGAUGCCGUGGGAGGAAUGAGUAGUGUAGCGGUGAAAUGCAUAGAUAUUACUCAGAACACCGAUUGCGAAGGCAUCUCACGAAUCCGUCAUUGACGCUGAGGCACGAAAGCGUGGGGAUCAAACAGGAUUAGAUACCCUGGUA